CCUUGUCGGGUAAGUUCCGACCUGCACGAAUGGCGUAACGACUUCUCUGCUGUCUCAACCACGAACUCGGCGAAAUUGCAUUACGAGUAAAGAUGCUCGUUACGCGCAGCAGGACGGAAAGACCCCGAGACCUUCACUAUAGUUUGGUAUUGGGCUUCGGUGUGGUUUGUGUAGGAUAGGUGGGAGAUGUUGAAGCCUGGUCGCCAGAUCGGGUGGAGUCGGCAAGUGAAAUACCACUCUGACCAUUCUGGAUUCCUUAACUUCGGACCCUGAUCGGGUUCAGGGACAGUGCCUGAUGGGUAGUUUAACUGGGGCGGUUGCCUCCUAAAGAGUAACGGAGGCGCCCAAAGGUUCCCUCAGCCUGGUUGGCAAUCAGGUGUCGAGUGUAAGUGCACAAGGGAGCUUGACUGUGAGACGGACGUGUCGAGCAGGAGCGAAAGCUGGGACUAGUGACCCGGCCAUGGCUUGUGGAAGCGUGGUCGCUCAACGGAUAAAAGGU
Molecule: ribosomal RNA, 499 nt
Filed under: Burkholderia multivorans
Lineage: Bacteria; Pseudomonadati; Pseudomonadota; Betaproteobacteria; Burkholderiales; Burkholderiaceae
Description: bacterial LSU rRNA
Rfam family: Bacterial large subunit ribosomal RNA
Source: RNAcentral